RNAcentral lists this ribosomal RNA (270 nucleotides) under uncultured archaeon. RNAcentral's name for it is "partial 16S ribosomal RNA". It matches the Rfam family "Archaeal small subunit ribosomal RNA", at positions 477 to 747 of the family's 1478-position model. The record is from RNAcentral.
CAGCCCCUCGAGUGGUGGGGAUGAUUAUUUGGCCUAAAGCGUCCGUAGCCGGCCGAGCAAGUCUUCCGUUAAAUCCAGCGUCUCAAGCGUUGGACUGCGGGAGAUACUACACGGCUAGAGAGUGGGAGAGGUCAGCGGUAUUCUGGGGGUAGGGGCGAAAUCCUUUGAUCCCCGGAGGACCACCAGUGGCGAAGGCUGCUGACUAGAACACGUCUGACGGUCAGGGACGAAAGCUGGGGUAGCGAACCGGAUUAGAUACUCGAGUAGUCC